GAGUUAUCUGAACCUUCGGGGGACGAUAACGGCGUCGAGCGGCGGACGGGUGAGUAAUGCCUAGGAAAUUGCCCUGAUGUGGGGGAUAACCAUUGGAAACGAUGGCUAAUACCGCAUGAUGCCUACGGGCCAAAGAGGGGGACCUUCGGGCCUCUCGCGUCAGGAUAUGCCUAGGUGGGAUUAGCUAGUUGGUGAGGUAAGGGCUCACCAAGGCGACGAUCCCUAGCUGGUCUGAGAGGAUGAUCAGCCACACUGGAACUGAGACACGGUCCAGACUCCUACGGGAGGCAGCAGUGGGGAAUAUUGCACAAUGGGCGCAAGCCUGAUGCAGCCAUGCCGCGUGUGUGAAGAAGGCCUUCGGGUUGUAAAGCACUUUCAGUCGUGAGGAAGGUAGUGUAGUUAAUAGCUGCAUUAUUUGACGUUAGCGACAGAAGAAGCACCGGCUAACUCCGUGCCAGCAGCCGCGGUAAUACGGAGGGUGCGAGCGUUAAUCGGAAUUACUGGGCGUAAAGCGCAUGCAGGUGGUUUGUUAAGUCAGAUGUGAAAGCCCGGGGCUCAACCUCGGAAUUGCAUUUGAAACUGGCAGACUAGAGUACUGUAGAGGGGGGUAGAAUUUCAGGUGUAGCGGUGAAAUGCGUAGAGAUCUGAAGGAAUACCGGUGGCGAAGGCGGCCCCCUGGACAGAUACUGACACUCAGAUGCGAAAGCGUGGGGAGCAAACAGGAUUAGAUACCCUGGUAGUCCACGCCGUAAACGAUGUCUACUUGGAGGUUGUGGCCUUGAGCCGUGGCUUUCGGAGCUAACGCGUUAAGUAGACCGCCUGGGGAGUACGGUCGCAAGAUUAAAACUCAAAUGAAUUGACGGGGGCCCGCACAAGCGGUGGAGCAUGUGGUUUAAUUCGAUGCAACGCGAAGAACCUUACCUACUCUUGACAUCCAGAGAACUUUCCAGAGAUGGAUUGGUGCCUUCGGGAACUCUGAGACAGGUGCUGCAUGGCUGUCGUCAGCUCGUGUUGUGAAAUGUUGGGUUAAGUCCCGCAACGAGCGCAACCCUUAUCCUUGUUUGCCAGCGAGUAAUGUCGGGAACUCCAGGGAGACUGCCGGUGAUAAACCGGAGGAAGGUGGGGACGACGUCAAGUCAUCAUGGCCCUUACGAGUAGGGCUACACACGUGCUACAAUGGCGCAUACAGAGGGCAGCCAACUUGCGAAAGUGAGCGAAUCCCAAAAAGUGCGUCGUAGUCCGGAUUGGAGUCUGCAACUCGACUCCAUGAAGUCGGAAUCGCUAGUAAUC
Molecule: ribosomal RNA, 1290 nt
Filed under: Vibrio parahaemolyticus
Lineage: Bacteria; Pseudomonadati; Pseudomonadota; Gammaproteobacteria; Vibrionales; Vibrionaceae
Description: bacterial SSU rRNA
Rfam family: Bacterial small subunit ribosomal RNA
Source: RNAcentral